This 253-nucleotide ribosomal RNA is filed under the name uncultured bacterium. RNAcentral describes it as "partial 16S ribosomal RNA". It matches the Rfam family "Bacterial small subunit ribosomal RNA", at positions 524 to 776 of the family's 1533-position model. The record is from RNAcentral.
UACGUAGGGUGCGAGCGUUGUCCGGAAUUAUUGGGCGUAAAGGGCUCGUAGGCGGUCUGUCACGUCAGGAGUGAAAACUCGGGGCUCAACCCCGAGCCUGCUUCUGAUACGGGCAGACUGGAGGUAUGCAGGGGAGAACGGAAUUCCUGGUGUAGCGGUGAAAUGCGCAGAUAUCAGGAGGAACACCGGUGGCGAAGGCGGUUCUCUGGGCAUUACCUGACGCUGAGGAGCGAAAGUGUGGGAAGCGAACAGG